Molecule: ribosomal RNA, 497 nt
Filed under: uncultured bacterium
Lineage: Bacteria
Description: partial 16S ribosomal RNA
Rfam family: Bacterial small subunit ribosomal RNA
Source: RNAcentral
GACGAACGCUGGCGGCGUGCCUAAUACAUGCAAGUCGAACGAACAGACCCUGCGCUUGCUCCUCUCUCGAUAGCGGCGGACGGGUGAGUAACGCGUGGAAAACCUACCUAAAAGACUGGGAUAACUUGGGAAAACCGGAGCUAAUACCGGAUAAUAUCUUGAACCACAUGGUUCAAUAGUGAAUGACGGUUUUUCUGGCACUUAUAGAUGGAUCCGCGCUGCAUUAGCUGGUUGGUAAGGUAACGGCUUACCAAGGCAACGCUGCGUAGACGACACGUGAGAGGGAGCGGCGCCACAGGAGGUGAGACACGCGCCAGAGUCCUACGGGAGGGACCAGAAUGGAAUCGUCCGCAAUAGGCGCGAACUUGUCACAGCGACGCCGCGCGAGUGAUGAAAGGGUUCGGAUCGUGAAAAUCUCUUAUUAGGGAAAAACAAAUGUGUAAGUAACUAUGCACGUCUUGACGGUACCUAAUAAGAAAGCCACGGCUAACUACGUG